CGCGUAGGCGGUUUGAUAAGUCAGAUGUGAAAGCCCACGGCUUAACUGUGGAAGUGCAUUUGAAACUGUCAGACUUGAGUAUCAGAGGGGAAAGUGGAAUUCCCCGGUGUAGAGGUGAAAUUCGUAGAUAUCGGGAGGAAUACCGGUGGCGAAGGCGACUUUCUGGCUGAAUACUGACGCUGAGGCGCGAAGCGUGGGGAGCAAACA
This 207-nucleotide ribosomal RNA is filed under the name uncultured delta proteobacterium. RNAcentral describes it as "partial 16S ribosomal RNA". It matches the Rfam family "Bacterial small subunit ribosomal RNA", at positions 568 to 774 of the family's 1533-position model. The record is from RNAcentral. Lineage: Bacteria; Deltaproteobacteria.